This 1399-nucleotide long non-coding RNA is filed under the name Malus domestica (apple). RNAcentral's name for it is "long non-coding RNA (MDOM_LNC007649)". The record is from RNAcentral. Lineage: Eukaryota; Viridiplantae; Streptophyta; Magnoliopsida; Rosales; Rosaceae.
ACCCCGUUCACGGUGGAGGGAAAGGUAUACUGCGACACUUGCCGCGCUGGGUACGAGACCAAAGCCAUCACCUACAUUGCUGGUAACAAAUAUUUAACUCUUAACUUUUAUGUUUAACUCUAAUUUUGUUUAGGGAUUUUGGGUAAUUUUUGUAGAUGUGGAAUUUGGAUCUGAUUUGCUAGAUCUGGAAAUGUUGCCUCUAUUGUUUGUAAAUUUAGUUGCAAUAUUUGGUUUUUUUAAUUUUUCAGUUCUGACUGGGUUUGAAGUUUGAAUUGGGUGGACUGUAUAGUCAAAUGAUGAUGCUUUUAGGGUUUUUAUGUUUAUUAUUUUGGUUUUUUUUAACAAACAUAUUAUAUACAUUAUAUGGAGGGUGAUGGGCUUAGCCUUACAAUGGUUUAAAUUUAUUUUUGGCGAGAGUCGAACCUAGAACUGUCACUUACAAGUGAAGAGGAAUACCAUUAGACCGUAGGACUAAGUUGGAUAUGUAUUAUUUUGUUGUGUGUACUUUUAGUGCCUGAUGAAGAAUAAUUGAGGUUAAAUUAAUACAUGGAGACAUUGAAUUUAUCAUCAUAUGUAUAGAAAGCAGCUUGCAAUUUUCAUUGAAAAUUAGGACCCAGAAAUUUGUACUGAGAAGUCUUAAGGACAUCCUAUCUGCAGGGUAUUGUUUGCUCAAAUCUAGGUCAACUUUGAAUGCAUACAUUACGAAACUUUUAUGCCAUUCGUGAUCAUUCGUGACGUCCUUUUGCAGAUAAAUAAUUAGGAUGAGUUUUGUUUGCUGAGUGGUUGUUGAUUCUAGUUUAUGAUCAGGUUUUGACAUAUUUUGAACCGAUUAAUUUGUUUCGAGAAUGUUAAACAUUAUCUGUUUAUGUUUUGUUGUUCAUAUGUACAUCGACUCUUUGCUCAUUUUUUUCUAACACCAAUUUAUGUCGUUCGUGACGUUGGUUUGUGACAAGUUUAGGAGAACUUUGGUGACUUGACAGUUAUUGAAUCUUAUGCUCAUGUUUGGAAUAGGUUUUGACGAAUUGACAACGAGUUUAGAUUACUGGUCUAGUGUCAUAUUGGGUUUGGUUAUGUGUAUACUCAGUAUUGUUGGUUCUUUAAACUAGCAAUUUGGAAGGAAAUAGUGGAAACUGUUUCGAUUGAAGAUGUCGUUUAACAAGUUUAUCUGGUGAUGUUAAUUAUAGGUGCCAAGGUUAGACUGGAAUGCAGAGACAAGACUAGCAUGGCACUCCUGUACACCAAAGAAGGGACAACCGACUCAGCAGGUUGCUAUAAGAUCCCAGUCGCAGAGGACCAUUUGGACCAAUUCUGUGAUGCAGUCCUUGUUAGCAGCCCUCAGAAGGACUGUGCAACAGUUUCCCCAGGGCGUGAGCGUGCACGUGUCAUCCUCACCGCCAAC